Molecule: long non-coding RNA, 1938 nt
Filed under: Anas zonorhyncha (Eastern spot-billed duck)
Lineage: Eukaryota; Metazoa; Chordata; Aves; Anseriformes; Anatidae
Description: lncRNA (ENSAZOG00000002556.1)
Source: RNAcentral
AUGACUAGAAGCAUCCAGUUGAGCGCUCUGUUUUGUCAUGCUCAGCCAAACACAUUAAUGACAUGUUCAGUCCUGUUACUAUCACAGGAACCCCGCAGGGUGUCUGACAUUGAUACCGUGAGGAAACAGAGCUGGCCUCAGUCCACUCACAAGGAGGAGAAAGGGAAAGAAGUUAAACGCAACUUUCCUGUGGGUGGUGUGUUUGCGGAGGAAAAAUAUCACUUCAUCCCCAAACACUGGCAUAUGCCCCAAAGUAUGACUACUCUUCAAAUCAUUAUUCUUUCUUACGGCUCAAAACACCAGAAAAAAGAGAAGAGCAGGACAACCACAAUAAUUUUCUCUGUGCAUGCAUGAAGGCCAUGACUGUCACUUUCCUUACAAGCAGUGAGGUUUAGGAAAGUUUGGUAUUAAAUUCAGUAGUAGUAGAGAUGGAUCAUGUAAGGCAGUACUCUCUCACCACAUUUUAGCAACUUUAACCAUAAGGUCACCUGAACCCGAAAUCAGUGGGAGUGCAAGGACUCGUCAAGCACUUUUAUCCACCAGGCCCAGAGCGCAUAACACUUUGCACACGCCAAUGGGUUUUGCCCAUCUUCCCUUUAAUGACUUGUCCCUGAGGAGGAAAGACAAACUUAAAUGGCAGCAUUUAACUGAAGAUCAGACUUUAUCCUGCUUCCAACAUAUUUCAAAGUAUAAUCAGAGACUGGCCACUAUCAACUCACUGUGAAAAAACAAGACAAGAGGACUUCAUGUGCCAUCAAUUCCAGUUCCCCUGCAGGUAGACAUUUAAUACAACUUCUUAUAAUUUGCUCAUGCAUACUGAUCAAGCCCUACAUCUGUGUAGGCAUUUCGCUUCUAUACCUGUCAGAAGGUUGUUCCAGAAGCUUCUUUGGCUCAUCCUUGGUAACCUUCAGUCUCUCGAGCUGGGCAAAUAUGCCUGAGUCUGAUUAUUCCUGUGACAACAUCAGUGUGAAUGUCAUUUUAUUUGCAUGAUCCCUAACCUGUAGAACAAAGAAUGGAACUGAAAGGCAAACAUGCUAAGAUGUGGAAAGAAAACAAACUCCUGGAGAGGAGUAUGAACUUUGGGAUAAGGAAACACGUCAAGAAGUGCAAGCAUGCCUGUAGAGUCAUGUUUCUCCCACUUCCUUGAAAUUAUUUUUAUGAACUAUCUUUUCAAAGUGUGGUUUCUGUUGUAGUAAAGCCAGAAAAAUAGUAAGAUGUGUUCAAGACAAAAUAUGUUAUGACAGGUGCAUUGCUAAUUCCUUCCUUUACAGAGGCCUGUAUUGUUUGAAAACAUUCCUCAGCAUUUUGUUUUAGCUCUACACUUUAAUGUCCCAGAAAGUUACAUCCCGAUAUGUUCUGUAUCGUUUUUAAAAGCAAAAAAUGGUACUGCCUAUUCUGGCACAGGUACUGCACCAUCCUGAAAGUACAUCUAACACAGAUCACCUGCAGAGAUCGGAGGUGAUGCAGAUGUUCCUCUGUCAAAGCCUGAACUACCGGUUUCUCCAGAGGAUGGCAUCCACAGAGCUCCAAGUGCAAAAGAUUGAUGGCAACCCCACUUUGGAUGAGGCAUGCCUUCAGCUUCCCUCAUCUUCACUUUCAUGGAUGCUGGUUACAAUUUAACUCUCAGACCUGAACCGUCGUGAAUAGAUGUACCUGGCAAAGCCCUGUUCAGCCAGAUGCUGUGCUGCAAAACCUUACCUACAGCUUGUCACAGUUUACUUACGGUCCUCGAUUUUUUUUCUCCCUGCUGAAUUACCCUCGAGGUGUGCUUACAUGUGACAUAUGCAGCUACUCUGUUAUAUGAACCGCAUUUUACUCGGCACUGAGCAAAAGGGUCUCCCAUGAGGCAAACAAACUGGCCUUAAGAGGCACGUUGUGAGCCUCGGUUGUGUUUAACCCCGUUCUUCAUGCAGCCGGCACCUGCGUGACAUGGGGCUC